Chiroxiphia lanceolata (lance-tailed manakin) is the source of this 2431-nucleotide long non-coding RNA. RefSeq lists it as uncharacterized. Lineage: Eukaryota; Metazoa; Chordata; Aves; Passeriformes; Pipridae. The record is from RefSeq and is a predicted model, not a curated record. The transcript is spliced from 4 exons.
CACGGGCCGGCCCUGCGGCAGCGGCUGGGCCGGCACAGCGGCGCCUUUUCCUGCCAUAUUUCUCCCGCCGCGUCUGUUUCUUUUUAAAGCCCCAGAGUAAGGGGAUGACAGAGGAGUGAAAAGAGCAACGUCCUAGGACGGGGGGAGGCGGCCGCGCUCCAGGGGCGCGGGUUCGCCCCACUCACAGAAAUGGCUCCCGCCGCCCCCUCCUCCGUGAGAGGCGAAACACAACCCGGGCGCUCCCCCCCGCGCUCCUGUGGCCGGGGCCGGAUUGGUCGUGAGGGGCCAGUGCUGGGAGCGCACGGAGGGGCCGUGAGGUGAUGGGGGGGAAGAUGGAGGCGCCUCUGAGGGCUCCCCUCACCCCGCCCCGCUCGGACCCGGCCGUGCAGGCCCGCGGGCCCGGGGCUGAAUCGUGCAGGCUUGUCCCGGGGCACUAAGGGUGCAUCGUUCCUGGAAGGGAUGAAGGAGUAUUGGGGAGUAUUUCUAGGAGGCGGGCUGGGUGGUCCUUGGGGCGCUGCCGAAAGCGCAGUGCUGUGAUACACUGCAGCUCUCAGUACAGCGAUGUUCACAAAAAAAGCCUGUCAAGACUGAUUUAAAGGUUGUGCCCAGGAACAGCUACCUGUGUUUUCUUGGGAUCCACCAACACAAGCAAGCGUGGACAUGGACUAAUGCAUGGACAGGACAAGAUGCAGAGUUGUCUUUGCUAAUUUCCUGGGCAAACAGACUGUGUAUCUUUAUGCAGAAGGAAACAGAGAGAAGUGAGAACUGUGAAGGACUGCUGCCUCAGAGCUGCUGUUGCCAUAGAGCUGCUAACGAGGAAAAAAACUGCAGCAUGGAUUUCUUGUGCUGUUGAAGCCAACUGGUCUGUUAUGGCUCCUGUGAUAACUGCAUCCAGUGGAAGGUGGAGAGGCAUCCACCAAAUUCAGACAGUGCUUCUAAUAAAUAUAUUUUUUCUCUUCACUUCUAAAACAAAUAUAAUUCUUUGGCAUAUCUCUGGAUUCUGCAGAGAAUUCUGAUUCUCUGUGGCUCAGUUUGAACUGAAACAGUAAGGUAAGUAAUUUAAUGCCUGAUCUUCAACCCACAGAUCAGCACUGUCAGGAUUCAUGGCAGAAGAGAAAAGAAUCUCUGUCAAGUUUCGAAUCCCUGUUACUCCAUAUUAGUAGGAGUUACGUCUUUGGAGCUUAGGGUUGAGUCUUCACUGGGUAGCAGAUUGAAACCAGUGCAGGAACAGCAGUACUUACCAGUAUUGUAGAAAUAUGCUUUACCCAAUUAGGAAAACCUUCCCUCUUUCCUUCUUGAAGCAGCCUCCCUCUUCUUUUAGAAUGCAGAAGAAACAUUUUGUUAUUAAUUACAUUUUACCAAAUGAACUUCACUUAAAGCUUAAUUAAAACUGUGGAAGCUGAAUUAUACUAAUGUAGUGUUGUAAACACAGCAGCAUUAGGAGUUGUGUGUGAGUAGCUGGUUAUAGGAUUGAAAAUAUCUAACCCCAUUAUUAUUUUUUAAGAAUAUUUGAGGAAUUUGUAGUUUGGAUUUGGUACAGCUCUGUCUACAUGACAAUGGCCACACAAUGAUGUCAUUUCUAAUUCUGUAGCCUCUUGUCCUCAGAGCUGAUAUUCCUACGUUGGGAACAAUUAUCUUGCUGGCUGAGAGACCUGAGAAAACAAGGAAGGAAAUGGGUUCUUACAUCUUAUCAAAUGCCAGUGUUCAUUGUUCAUGCUCCCCAUGUUCUGAUGUCAGGUGUUUGCACAGCUCUCUCCCAAGGCUUACACUGUGUCAACAUAGCACAGGAGGAUGAUUGGAACUGCUGAGUGUGAUUGAAAGGUCGUGUCUGAAUUGUGGCAAAAAUCCAAUAGGCCAUCCAUAGUAAAGCUGAGGAAUUUUCAUGGUCAGUUAAAAUACAUAUUUUGUCCCACAGUCACAGGUGGAAUGAACAAGAGAGAGAGCACAUUAAAUUCAGACAGCUGCAGAAUGGCCAUCAUGCAGCUCUGGAUGUCAGGAGUUUCAUCAACAGAAUUUUAAUUCAGACAUGUUUUCAUACCCCAGAGUCGUAGUUCCUGCACUAUCUGCAUCACUAAGAAUGCAAUUUUUCUGGUGCAGGAGUAGCCUUUAUUUUUUAUGUUCAUGAAAUUACACUUAGAGCAUUAUUUAUACACCUUGCUCAUAAUAAGUAACUGGCAAACUUCGGAGCUCUGUUGCUAGAGCUUAAUAUUUAAAACAGAUUGCACAGAUGGGGUGUUCUUAUCUACAUUGUUACUCACCCAAACGAAACGCUGAGUGUUAAGCCUACUAAGCCUUUCCUGACAAUCACAAAACUGACAUAAUUUGGAGAUCAUAAACCCUGUGGCAAAAAAUGUGCCAUCUGCUGGCCAAGGAGGAGAGUACCCGUUAGCCACUGUGGUCCCUGGACAGAGUGCGCCAGCGUGAUUCCAGC